UAAUACUGAGGGUGCAAGCGUUAAUCGGAAUUACUGGGCGUAAAGCGCGCGUAGGCGGUCUGGUCAGUCAGAUGUGAAAGCCCCGGGCUUAACCUGGGAACUGCAUUUGAAACUGCCAGACUAGAGUGUGGUAGAGGGAAGUGGAAUUCCGCGUGGAGCGGUGAAAUGCGUAGAGAUGCGGAGGAACACCAGUGGCGAAGGCGACUUCCUGGACCAACACUGACGCUCAGGUGCGAAAGCGUGGGGAGCAAACAGGAUUAGAUACCCUGGUAGUCCACGCCGUAAACGAUGUCUACUAGCCGUUGGGGAGCUUGUCUCCUUAGUGGCGCAGCUAACGCGAUAAGUAGACCGCCUGGGGAGUACGGUCGCAAGACUA
This 376-nucleotide ribosomal RNA is filed under the name uncultured Gammaproteobacteria bacterium. Its description in RNAcentral is "bacterial SSU rRNA". It matches the Rfam family "Bacterial small subunit ribosomal RNA", at positions 521 to 896 of the family's 1533-position model. The record is from RNAcentral. Lineage: Bacteria; Pseudomonadati; Pseudomonadota; Gammaproteobacteria.